Molecule: ribosomal RNA, 267 nt
Filed under: uncultured bacterium
Lineage: Bacteria
Description: partial 16S ribosomal RNA
Rfam family: Bacterial small subunit ribosomal RNA
Source: RNAcentral
GUCCACGCCGUAAACGAUGAGUGCUAAGUGUUAGAGGGUUUCCGCCCUUUAGUGCUGCAGCAAACGCAUUAAGCACUCCGCCUGGGGAGUACGGCCGCAAGGCUGAAACUCAAAAGGAAUUGACGGGGGCCCGCACAAGCGGUGGAGCAUGUGGUUUAAUUCGAAGCAACGCGAAGAACCUUACCAGGUCUUGACAUCCUCUGACAAUCCUAGAGAUAGGACUUUCCCCUUCGGGGGACAGAGUGACAGGUGGUGCAUGGUUGUCGU